This 301-nucleotide ribosomal RNA is filed under the name uncultured bacterium. Its description in RNAcentral is "partial 16S ribosomal RNA". It matches the Rfam family "Bacterial small subunit ribosomal RNA", at positions 509 to 807 of the family's 1533-position model. The record is from RNAcentral.
CAGCCGCCGCGGGAAUACGAAGGGGGCUAGCGUUGCUCGGAAUGACUGGGCGUAAAGGGCGCGUAGGCGGAAUGUACAGUCAGACGUGAAAUUCCUGGGCUCAACCUGGGGACUGCGUUUGAGACGUGCGUUCCAGAGUUUGGAAGAGGGUUGUGGAAUUCCCAGUGUAGAGGUGAAAUUCGUAGAUAUUGGGAAGAACACCGGUGGCGAAGGCGGCAACCUGGUCCUUGACUGACGCUGAGGCGCGAAAGCGUGGGGAGCAAACAGGAUUAGAUACCCGAGUAGUCCCUGUCUCUUAUAC